GACAUAUGGGGUUUGACACACGAAGUCAGAGAUGCCACAGGGAGCGUUUCACAUGAAGUCAGGAAUGCAAAGGGGAGUGUUACACACGAAGGCAGAGACGUCAUGUGGUUGUAACACAUGAUGUCAGAGAUGCUAUGGGGAGUGUUAUGCAGGUAGUCAGGUCACGUGUAGUGUUGCACACGAAGUCCAAGAUGCAAAGGGGAAUGUGACACAUGAAUUCAGAGAUGUCAGUGGGAGUGUUACACAUGAAUCAGAGAUGCCAGGGGCAGUGUUACACAUGAAAUCAGAGACAGCAUGAGAGAGUGUUACACCUGUAGUAAGAGAAGCCAGUGGGAGUGUUAUGCACAAACUCAGAGACACCAGUUGGAGUGUUAUGCAGGAAGUCAGAGAUACCAAGGGGAGUGUGACACAUCAAGUCAGACACGCCAGGGAAAGUGUGACACACAAAGUCAGAGACACUAGGGGAAGCAUGACACAAGAAGUCAGCGGCAACACAGGGAGAGGUACACACAAACACAGAGAUGCCAGUAGGAAUGUGACAGACAAAGUUAGAGAUCCCAGGUACAUUGUGGCACGUGAAAUCAGAGAUGCAAUGGUGGGUGUUACACAUUAAGUCAAAGACACCAGGGGGAGUGUGACACAUGAAAUCAGAGACGCAAUUGGGAGUGUGGUACACGAAGUCAGAGAUGCCACCGAGAGUGUUGCACACGAAAUCAGAAACACCAUGGGGAGUAUGACACACGAAGUAAGAGACAACGGGUCGAGUGUGGCCCUCAAAUUCAGAGAAGCCAUGGGGAGUGUUACACACAAAUUCAAUGAUGCCAGGUGGAGAAAUAGACACAAAGUCAGAGACGCCAGUGGGACUGUUACACAAUGAAGUUUUAGACCACAUGGGCACCAUGAUGCACCAAGUCAGAGAUAGAAGGGGGAGUGUGUUACACAUGAAUUCAGAGAUGCCACGUGAAGUGUUAAACUCAAAAUCAAAGAUACCAGUGUGAGUGUUACACGGGAAGUCAGAUACGCCUCAUGAAGUGUCACACAAGUCAGGGACACCAGGGGGAGCAUGAUACACGAAGUCAGAGACGCAACUUGUAGUGUUAGACACUUAGAGACAGCAGGGGAAGUUUUACACAUGAAGUCAGAGAUUCCAGGGGGAGUGUUACUCAUGAAGUCAGAGACAGCACAUGGAGUGUUACAAAUGAAGUCUGAGAUGCAAGUGUGUGUUUGACAGACGAAGUCAAAGACGUCACUGGGAUUAUGACACACAAAGGCCGAUAAGACAUGGGGUGUGUGAUCCAUGCAUUCAGACACACCACAGGAGAAUGUUAUGUGAAAUGUCAAAGACACCAGGGAUUCUAAUGCUCUAAGACAGUGAUGCAGCAGGGAGUGUUACAAAUUCACUGAUGCCAGGGGAGGUGUUACACAUGAAUUCACACACCAUUGGGAGUAUUACUCACAAAUUCAGAGAUGCCACGGGGGUGUGUUACACACAAUGUGAGACACCACAUACAGUAUUACCCGCCAAGUCAUAGAUAAUAUGGGGAGUGUCACACCCAAAAUCAGAGACGCCAGAGGAGUUGUGACACAUCAAG
Long non-coding RNA from Equus caballus (horse), 1592 nucleotides. The record is from Ensembl. NCBI's taxonomy places the organism in Eukaryota, Metazoa, Chordata, Mammalia, Perissodactyla, Equidae.